This is a non-coding RNA of Soboliphyme baturini, 46 nucleotides long. The record is from Rfam. NCBI's taxonomy places the organism in Eukaryota, Metazoa, Nematoda, Enoplea, Dioctophymatida, Soboliphymatidae.
CCAACGGCCCUUUUCAGGGCCACCAUGUAAUUGAGCACUUGGUUUU